This 166-nucleotide ribosomal RNA is filed under the name Datura metel (Hindu datura). Its description in RNAcentral is "5.8S ribosomal RNA". It matches the Rfam family "5.8S ribosomal RNA". From Rfam's summary of the family: 5.8S ribosomal RNA (5.8S rRNA) is a component of the large subunit of the eukaryotic ribosome. It is transcribed by RNA polymerase I as part of the 45S precursor that also contains 18S and 28S rRNA. The record is from RNAcentral. Lineage: Eukaryota; Viridiplantae; Streptophyta; Magnoliopsida; Solanales; Solanaceae.
CAAAAACGACUCUCGGCAACGGAUAUCUGGGCUCUCGCAUCGAUGAAGAACGUAGCGAAAUGCGAUACUUGGUGUGAAUUGCAGAAUCCCGUGAACCAUCGAGUCUUUGAACGCAAGUUGCGCCCAAAGCCAUUAGGCCGAGGGCACGUCUGCCUGGGCGUCACGC